CGAACCUAACAACACCACCUACAAAUAAGCACGUUGGUGGCGUCGGUUUGACAGGUGGUUUGUAUGUAUAAACAAUCUAUGAAAAUCAGUAGUGUUUGUUGUAUCGAGUGGGCGGUAAGCUAUCAGUGCAACUUUCAAAGAUGAGCAAAUUCUUCACAAAAGCUGGGUGAUUGAGAUGUUCUACAGUAUUAGUCCCAGAUAUGUCAUAAUUCUUAAACAAGUAAUUGUCACUUGUUGCUGAAUAUACCAGACGGGGGAGCUAUUGUAACAUUGUACCACCUAUGGAUGCCCUGUCUACAAGGUUAAAAAGUUGCCUGUGAGCGUCUGUGUACGGAUUUCGUUCUGUUCUUGAGAAAAAGAAGUUGGUUACCCAAGACGGAAUGGCACCCAGGUACUUGGAGAUUGCACGGUCUGCCUGAAGGAGGGCACUGACAGUGGUCUGCAGUGGGUCCAGGACGGGCCACAUUUGCUUCCCACCUGGCGUACCGGGGUCUGGGCGACGCGUGCGCUGCAGGAGGCACAGCAGCGCCAGAGUCGGCGGCGGGUGUUGACGUCCGGCAAGCACCACUAGCGGGAAGUUGUGGCACGGCGUCCAGGAGGGCGCGGGUUCGAGUCUGGUCCUGUCCUGGGAGCAGCGGCGGCCCGAGGGCCACAGGUAAACAGUACAUCCACUUUCGUCCCAUGGUCGGACAAAGCAGGCCAAACAGGGCAGAGGGCGGUGAGGACCAGGGACUUCUAACAGUCUCAGGAAUCGCGAGGAGCUUCGUGGCGCAAGACGCGACGCAUCGAUAAGUGGCGACCGAGCGGGCGCGGCUGACUACCAGCUGAGCAGCCUUGGUGACGGAGCAGUGGUGUCAGCGUACCAGGAGUUGCUGAGUUGGCUGGACUCGCGGAACAGCGCUGCAGGCAGACACCAACACUGCGCUGCAUCCAUCGUAGUACUGUAACUUAUGUGAAUAAAGAAAUGCUUCCAAA
Molecule: unclassified non-coding RNA, 975 nt
Filed under: Schistocerca americana (American grasshopper)
Lineage: Eukaryota; Metazoa; Arthropoda; Insecta; Orthoptera; Acrididae
Description: constitutive coactivator of peroxisome proliferator- activated receptor gamma-like, transcript variant X3
Source: RNAcentral